Molecule: ribosomal RNA, 604 nt
Filed under: uncultured Clostridium sp.
Lineage: Bacteria; Bacillati; Bacillota; Clostridia; Eubacteriales; Clostridiaceae
Description: bacterial SSU rRNA
Rfam family: Bacterial small subunit ribosomal RNA
Source: RNAcentral
GGGCCCGCACAAGCAGCGGAGCAUGUGGUUUAAUUCGAAGCAACGCGAAGAACCUUACCUAGACUUGACAUCUCCUGAAUUACCUUUAAUCGGGGAAGUCCCUUCGGGGACAGGAAGACAGGUGGUGCAUGGUUGUCGUCAGCUCGUGUCGUGAGAUGUUGGGUUAAGUCCCGCAACGAGCGCAACCCUUAUUGUUAGUUGCUACCAUUUAGUUGAGCACUCUAGCGAGACUGCCCGGGUUAACCGGGAGGAAGGUGGGGAUGACGUCAAAUCAUCAUGCCCCUUAUGUCUAGGGCUACACACGUGCUACAAUGGCCGGUACAAAGAGAUGCUAAACCGUGAGGUGGAGCUAAACUAUAAAACCGGUCUCAGUUCGGAUUGUAGGCUGAAACUCGCCUACAUGAAGCUGGAGUUGCUAGUAAUCGCGAAUCAGCAUGUCGCGGUGAAUACGUUCCCGGGCCUUGUACACACCGCCCGUCACACCAUGAGAGUUGGCAAUACCCAAAGUUGGUGAUCUAACCUCGCAAGAGGAGGAAGCCACCUAAGGUAGGGUCAGCGAUUGGGGUGAAGUCGUAACAAGGUAGCCGUAGGAGAACCUGCGGCU